GACGAACGCUGGCGGCGUGCCUAAUACAUGCAAGUAGAACGCUGAAGAGAGGAGCUUGCUCUUCUUGGAUGAGUUGCGAACGGGUGAGUAACGCGUAGGUAACCUGCCUUGUAGCGGGGGAUAACUAUUGGAAACGAUAGCUAAUACCGCAUAACAAUGGGUGACACAUGUCAUUUAUUUGAAAGGGGCAAUUGCUCCACUACAAGAUGGACCUGCGUUGUAUUAGCUAGUAGGUGAGGUAACGGCUCACCUAGGCGACGAUACAUAGCCGACCUGAGAGGGUGAUCGGCCACACUGGGACUGAGACACGGCCCAGACUCCUACGGGAGGCAGCAGUAGGGAAUCUUCGGCAAUGGGGGCAACCCUGACCGAGCAACGCCGCGUGAGUGAAGAAGGUUUUCGGAUCGUAAAGCUCUGUUGUAAGUCAAGAACGAGUGUGAGAGUGGAAAGUUCACACUGUGACGGUAGCUUACCAGAAAGGGACGGCUAACUACGUGCCAGCAGCCGCGGUAAUACGUAGGUCCCGAGCGUUGUCCGGAUUUAUUGGGCGUAAAGCGAGCGCAGGCGGUUUGAUAAGUCUGAAGUUAAAGGCUGUGGCUCAACCAUAGUUCGCUUUGGAAACUGUCAAACUUGAGUGCAGAAGGGGAGAGUGGAAUUCCAUGUGUAGCGGUGAAAUGCGUAGAUAUAUGGAGGAACACCGGUGGCGAAAGCGGCUCUCUGGUCUGUAACUGACGCUGAGGCUCGAAAGCGUGGGGAGCGAACAGGAUUAGAUACCCUGGUAGUCCACGCC
Molecule: ribosomal RNA, 790 nt
Filed under: uncultured organism
Description: SSU rRNA
Rfam family: Bacterial small subunit ribosomal RNA
Source: RNAcentral